AAUCCUGAGAAAACUUAGGAGUGCCCUUCGGGGAGCUGUGAGACAGGUGGUGCAUGGUUGUCGUCAGCUCGUGUCGUGAGAUGUUGGGUUAAGUCCCGCAACGAGCGCAACCCCUAUAUUUAGUUGCUAACGAGUAAGGUCGAGCACUCUAGAUAGACUGCCGGUGACAAACCGGAGGAAGGUGGGGAUGACGUCAAAUCAUCAUGCCCCUUAUGUCUUGGGCUACACACGUAAUACAAUGGCCGGUACAGACGGAAGCGAAGCCGUGAGGUGGAGCGAAUCCGAGAAAGCCGGUCUCAGUUCGGAUUGUUCUCUGCAACUCGAGAACAUGAAGUCGGAAUCGCUAGUAAUCGCAGGUCAGCAUACUGCGGUGAAUACGUUCCCGGGCCUUGUACACACCGCCCGUCACACCACGAAAGUCUGCAACACCCGAAGCCGGUGAGGUAACCCGAAAGGGAGCUAGCCGUCGAAGGUGGGGCCGAUGAUUGGGGUGAAGUCGUAACAAGGUAACC
This 512-nucleotide ribosomal RNA is filed under the name uncultured Desulfitobacterium sp. Its description in RNAcentral is "bacterial SSU rRNA". It matches the Rfam family "Bacterial small subunit ribosomal RNA", at positions 994 to 1501 of the family's 1533-position model. Lineage: Bacteria; Bacillati; Bacillota; Clostridia; Eubacteriales; Desulfitobacteriaceae. The record is from RNAcentral.